UGUAAACAAGACCAUCCAUGCACUGUCCUGCACUACCUCACUACCUGCAGCACCCUCAGUCCUCGUUAAGGCCACUGGGAUGCCUUGUGUCCAUUCUGGCGAUCCACACCCUCUCUGCUCUCCUCCUCUGGGGAGCACUCCAUCUAGGGUUGCACUCAAUGACACACACAGAGACAGAAUUCCAAUCAUGAGAAAUGAAGUGUUUCACCAGUGGCGUGCGUGUCUUUUUCUGUUUGACAAUAUUAUGUUUGUGUUGUGUCAUACGGGUGGCAAUGGUAUUCCCAGUCUCUCCCACAUAUUGAACACCGCAUUUGACACAUGUGAUCAGGUAGACACAAUUAGACGAUUUGACAUUCCCUCUGGUCGGGUUAUGAAAAACCUCUUUAGUAGCAUGACUGCUAAACCACUCCCUGUGUUUGAACCACUGAUUUGAACCUCCGGACCUGCCCCUUUGAAAGGGUGGAAUUUUGGCUUUCACCAAGUGAUCUUGUAAAUUCUUAUUCCUUCUGAAGGCUGAAAUGAUCCUGUGGUCCUGCAGGAUGGAAGACCCCGUGGUGUGGGAGAGGAAUCUCCUUCUACAUCCCCUGACCAGUUCCACCGUAGAAGGAUGGAAGACCCCGUGGUGUGGGAGAGGAAUCUCCUUCUACAUCCCCUGACCAGUUCCACCGUAGAAGGCAGGCUUGUGGGGACAACUAGUUUAAGUACCUCACCCAGUGAUUGAACAUGCGGACCGCUGUUGAUGGGGACCAGUGAAUAUUAUCCGGGCCUGUGUGAAAGAGGCUCGGUGGCAGAGCUGGGAUGUACUCACACAACCUGGCGAUGGCAGAGUUCAGGAUGGAAGACCCCGUGGUGUGGGAGAGGAAUCUCCUUCUACAUCCCCUGACCAGUUCCACCGUAGAAGG
Long non-coding RNA from Gasterosteus aculeatus aculeatus (three-spined stickleback), 902 nucleotides. The record is from Ensembl. Lineage: Eukaryota; Metazoa; Chordata; Actinopteri; Perciformes; Gasterosteidae.